Molecule: ribosomal RNA, 253 nt
Filed under: uncultured bacterium
Lineage: Bacteria
Description: partial 16S ribosomal RNA
Rfam family: Bacterial small subunit ribosomal RNA
Source: RNAcentral
UACGUAGGGUGCAAGCGUUGUCCGGAAUUAUUGGGCGUAAAGAGCUCGUAGGUGGUUUGUCGCGUUGUCCGUGAAAACUCACAGCUUAACUGUGGGCGUGCGGGCGAUACGGGCAGACUGGAGUACUGCAGGGGAGACUGGAAUUCCUGGUGUAGCGGUGGAAUGCGCAGAUAUCAGGAGGAACACCGGUGGCGAAGGCGGGUCUCUGGGCAGUAACUGACGCUGAGGAGCGAAAGCGUGGGGGGCGAACAGG